UAGGGAAGGCAGCAGUGGGGAAUAUUGCACAAUGGGCGCAAGCCUGAUGCAGCCAUGCCGCGUGUAUGAAGAAGGCCUUCGGGUUGUAAAGUACUUUCAGUCGUGAGGAAGGUGUUAAGGUUAAUAACCUUAGCAAUUGACGUUAGCGGCAGAAGAAGCACCGGCUAACUCCGUGCCAGCAGCCGCGGUAAUACGGAGGGUGCGAGCGUUAAUCGGAAUUACUGGGCGUAAAGGGCACGCAGGCGGUUAAUUAAGUUGGAUGUGAAAUCCCCGGGCUUAACCUGGGAAUGGCAUUCAAGACUGGUUAGCUAGAGUCUUGUAGAGGGGGUAGAAUUCCAUGUGUAGCGGUGAAAUGCGUAGAGAUGUGGAGGAAUACCGGUGGCGAAGGCGGCCCCUGGGACAAAGACUGACGCUCAUGUGCGAAAGCGUGGGGAGCAAACAGGAUUAGAUACC
This 453-nucleotide ribosomal RNA is filed under the name uncultured bacterium. RNAcentral describes it as "bacterial SSU rRNA". It matches the Rfam family "Bacterial small subunit ribosomal RNA", at positions 340 to 786 of the family's 1533-position model. The record is from RNAcentral.